GUAAGGCCUGUUAUAGCGGUGUGUUCGGCGGCUCCUCAGUGUGCAUUGACCCCGAGUCGGGAGAGGAGGUCGAACGGAGUCCGAAGCCGAGUCGCCGGGUCGCUCUGUCCUGCUGUGGUUUAGCCUGUGUCUGCGCUGACUGAGAUGGCACUCGUCGUGUGUUUGACAGCUGCCUUUGUAGUGGCAAGCAUACAAAGCUCCGUGGAAGCAGCUGAACCUCACGCGAUCAAAGGAAACAUCUUUUUCUUGAAGCCAAAUGUAACGGCUGCCUCGGGAACUCGGGUCGGAGCCGGCUACGAGUGCGGCGACUUCUUCCUUAACGACGGGGAGGAAGUGAUCUUGGUGUCUGGCGAUGACAACUU
This 362-nucleotide long non-coding RNA is filed under the name Penaeus japonicus. RNAcentral's name for it is "uncharacterized LOC122250807". The record is from RNAcentral. Lineage: Eukaryota; Metazoa; Arthropoda; Malacostraca; Decapoda; Penaeidae.